This 253-nucleotide ribosomal RNA is filed under the name uncultured bacterium. RNAcentral describes it as "partial 16S ribosomal RNA". It matches the Rfam family "Bacterial small subunit ribosomal RNA", at positions 524 to 776 of the family's 1533-position model. The record is from RNAcentral.
UACGAAGGGGGCUAGCGUUGUUCGGAAUUACUGGGCGUAAAGCGCACGUAGGCGGAUCGGUCAGUUAGGGGUGAAAUCCCAGAGCUCAACUCUGGAACUGCCUUUAAUACUGCCGAUCUCGAGUCCGGAAGAGGUGAGUGGAAUUCCGAGUGUAGAGGUGAAAUUCGUAGAUAUUCGGAGGAACACCAGUGGCGAAGGCGGCUCACUGGUCCGGUACUGACGCAGAGGUGCGAAAGCGUGGGGAGCAAACAGG